AAGAGAGGUGACUUCUGUCAUAGGAGGAUAGAACCCUGCAUAUCUUCUUACUGUGCACGUGUGCAUGUAAAGGAUUUGCAGAUUCAGCAGUGCGUGUUCAGGGCUUGCACAUGGUUUUAUUUUUUGCUCAUGCUCUGUUCAUUUGGAAAGAGUCAGUUUUUGUUAGAAAUACUACAUUAGUUUCCAAAUGGUUUUCUUCUUUGUGUUGUGCAAUGACAGAUACCUUUACCCAAAGUACCUUACUGUUUAUGUUAGAGAUGGGUGAACAUUUUCCUUAAGUGGUAGAUCAUAUUUUAGGCUGUGAUGUCUGUAUGGCUUCUGUGUACAUCUAGCUCUGCCAGUAUACCUUUAAGCAGACAUAGAUAGUAUGUCUAUGAAUGGAUGUGUCUUUGUUCUAGUAAAACAUUUCUGUAAACUGGGCAGCUAGCCCUGCUUUUCACUCUGUACCACUCUAUAUCAAGUGUUACCUUUUCCUGUGGUUCUGUUGUAUAUGUGUUGAAUUCAUCAUAGAAGAAUAGUAUUGUGGAUAGUUCCCAUACUUACUUAAUUCAUAAGAGACUUAAUAGCUAAUGAAUAUAGCUAUUGAUAGCAAGAUUUAGUUUAACAGACAUUAAGGAAUUAAGAAAUUAUUUUGUUAUUACAUCCUGGUAUGCUAUCUAACUUUAUUGUCAGAGCAAAUGACAGUCAUUUAAGAAAUUCUUUGAGAAACCUGUGCCCACUGUAGGAUACUUGCUACUGUCCUUUUCUUACAUGUUUUUCUCCCUAUCUCUUAAUGCUUAUGCUUAAAUCUUUGUUAAAACCUUUCCUUAAUAAUCCCCACCAUUGCUUAAAAAAAGAAAUUCUGUAUUGUAUAUGUAUAUCUCGUAUACAUUUUCUGGGAUUCUUUUUAAGAUUGGUUUGUUUUGCUGCUGGCCCUCAACAGUGUAUUUCAAAUAUAACACACACAGUUCAUCUUGCCUUGACUGGUUCAUGAGGAUAUUGUUUCCCUUUAUCAUCACUGAAUUUAAAUGCGUGACAUUCCAUAGUCAUUCAUCUUAUAAUGAGGAGAGAUAUGUUGAUGUUCUAGGCAUGGAAAAGUGGCAGCAAUCUCCACAAUCAGGUUUGUGUCUCAGGUGGCUAUCCAAUGCACAUUUUUGGCACCAUUGUUUGAGCACUGCCUUCAGAUGAGGCACCAUCCAGGGGCACAAAAAUUGUCUGGAAUGUUAUACUUUACAAAGAUGAAUCAAUUCCUGUUUUUUUCCCCCA
Molecule: long non-coding RNA, 1245 nt
Filed under: Rattus norvegicus (Norway rat)
Lineage: Eukaryota; Metazoa; Chordata; Mammalia; Rodentia; Muridae
Description: long non-coding RNA NONRATT030504
Source: RNAcentral